UACGGAGGGGGCUAGCGUUGUUCGGAAUUACUGGGCGUAAAGCGCACGUAGGCGGCUUUGUAAGUUAGAGGUGAAAGCCCGGGGCUCAACUCCGGAACUGCCUUUAAGACUGCAUCGCUAGAAUUGUGGAGAGGUGAGUGGAAUUCCGAGUGUAGAGGUGAAAUUCGUAGAUAUUCGGAAGAACACCAGUGGCGAAGGCGGCUCACUGGUCCGGUACUGACGCUGAGGUGCGAAAGCGUGGGGAGCAAACAGG
RNAcentral lists this ribosomal RNA (253 nucleotides) under uncultured bacterium. RNAcentral describes it as "partial 16S ribosomal RNA". It matches the Rfam family "Bacterial small subunit ribosomal RNA", at positions 524 to 776 of the family's 1533-position model. The record is from RNAcentral.